UUUACAGCUUUCCCAUGAUUGUGGGUAUGCAGCAGUUCCUGGCAGUCUCUAGACUAGGCCCUGCGCAUUAAGUAUUUUCCGCACUUCGUUCAUGGAGGUGUUCUCAUCUCAGUGCACAGAGGGUUACACGUGGAAAUCCCUCACACCAAGAGGACAACAUACCUCUUACUAUGACAGACAUCUGAACUGACACCUUCGUUGGCAAUCUCACCAUACCGGCCAAGGGCUGUAUGGACAUGAAGACUCAACUAUCUUCUCAUGCCUAGAGUUGGCUUACUUCUUGGAGGUUACACAGAAGAAAUGGGUUUUCAGAAGAGAUCUGGAUCAAAAGAGGGUGGUUGAUUGAUGAACUGGGGCUCUCACAGCAGGCUUGGAAGUGAUUAGAGGAAGUCACCAGAAUGCCAGGAGAAGGAGGAGAGAGACACAGUCCAGUUUGGGGCUGCUGAGGUAGAGAUCUGAUGCUAGAAUCAUGUAGAGCGAAAAGAUCAGUGAACCAAGAAAGUAUGCCACCUGAUAAUCUUAGUAUAAAAGCUCAGGAUCUGUGAAGAGGAGAAAAAGCUUAAGCAACUUUCCUUCCAACUCCGUGUGCAUCACUAAUCUCUCACUACUGGAUCCAACUGUACGUAACACUUAAAUGACCCGUUGACUCUUUCCAUUUAUUUUGCUGUGACAUGGUUUUCAAAAGGAAAUGCACACCAGGCCAUAUGGAGAUUUUGCUGUUAGAUUCACCUUUUCCAAAAAGUGAACAUGCAUGUGGAUUACAAAACAUGGAGAGCCAGCUCCUCAGCUGAUGUAAAUCAGCACAGCUUCUUUUAACAUCUGUCCUUGAGAGCAGAGGGGAUACGUGGGCGGGGUGGGGGGGCAUCAGCAAGUACAGGUCACCUCUGCCAGAGAGAGAUUGUUUUGUUUAUUACGAGUCUUUGUGCCAAUAGUGUACUGUCUCUUUAAAAGAGGCAGAUUUGUUUUCACAAACUCAACAAGGCUUAAGAAAAUCAAUUGUGUGCUUUUGUUGAGGAAGGAAGGGAAAGUAUAAGGAAAGUCAGCAACUUUAGAAGCUCAGUACUCAUUUUUGCUGUUGCAUAGCCUGUAGCCCUUAACAGGUAUAUUAGUUUUAAGCAGACUCAAAAUGGCAUUUACAGGUUUCAUCUUACUUCUUGAGAAUUUUCUGACAGCUUUUGGCCUGCAUUACCUGUUGUAAGUUUCACUAAUU
This is a long non-coding RNA of Chelonia mydas (Green sea turtle), 1210 nucleotides long. RefSeq lists it as uncharacterized. The record is from RefSeq and is a predicted model, not a curated record. The transcript has 5 exons. Lineage: Eukaryota; Metazoa; Chordata; Testudines; Cheloniidae.